CUGAUGGCGACCGGCGUACGGGUGAGUAACGCGUAUCCAACCUGCCCUUUACUAUGGGACAGCCCGUCGAAAGGCGGAUUAAUACCGUAUGUUGUCAUGUUGAUGCAUAUUUUCAUGACCAAAGGCUUCGGCCGGUAAAGGAUGGGGAUGCGUCUGAUUAGCUUGCCGGCGGGGUAACGGCCCACCGGGGCGACGAUCAGUAGGGGUUCUGAGAGGAAGGUCCCCCACAUUGGAACUGAGACACGGUUCAAACUCCUACGGGAGGCAGCAG
RNAcentral lists this ribosomal RNA (271 nucleotides) under uncultured bacterium. RNAcentral describes it as "partial 16S ribosomal RNA". It matches the Rfam family "Bacterial small subunit ribosomal RNA", at positions 85 to 354 of the family's 1533-position model. The record is from RNAcentral.